UCUCUAUGGUUGGUCAUCGUCAUUGUC
Molecule: non-coding RNA, 27 nt
Filed under: Rattus norvegicus (Norway rat)
Lineage: Eukaryota; Metazoa; Chordata; Mammalia; Rodentia; Muridae
Source: RNAcentral